Molecule: ribosomal RNA, 119 nt
Filed under: Arabidopsis suecica
Lineage: Eukaryota; Viridiplantae; Streptophyta; Magnoliopsida; Brassicales; Brassicaceae
Source: RNAcentral
GGAUGCGAUGAUACCAGCACUAAUACACCGGAUCCCAUCAGAACUUCGCAGUUAAGCGUGCUUGGGCGAGAGUAGUACUAGGAUGGGUGACCUCCCGGGAAGUCCUCGUGUUGUAUCCC